AGUUGAUCAUGGCUCAGAACGAACGCUGGCAGCGUGGAUUAGGCAUGCAAGUCGAACGGGAUCGGGAAGGUAGCAAUAUCGGCCCGUGAGAGUGGCGGAAGGGCGAGGAACACGUGGGCAACCUGUCCUUGAGGUGGGGAAAACCGUUGGAAACGACGGCUAAUACCGAAUGUGGCGCCGGGAGGCAUCUUCCGCGCGCUAAAGGGGGCCGCAAGGCUCCCCCUCUUCGAGGGGCUCGCGCACCAUCAGCUUGUUGGCGGGUAACGGCCCACCAAGGCUCACGGUUAGCUGGUCUGAGAGGAUGGCCAGCCGCACUGGGACUGAGAUACUGCCCAGACUCCUACGGGAGGCUGCAGUCGAGGAUCAUUCGCAAUGGGGGAAACCCUGACGAUGCGACGCUGCGUGGAAGGAUGAAGGCCCUCGGGUUGUAAACUCCUGUCAUGAGGGAAAAGGCGAGGGGACCCAACACGUCCCUUAGUUGAUGGUACCUCAAGAGGAACGGGCGGCUAACUCUGUGCCAGCCGCUGC
RNAcentral lists this ribosomal RNA (528 nucleotides) under uncultured bacterium. RNAcentral describes it as "bacterial SSU rRNA". It matches the Rfam family "Bacterial small subunit ribosomal RNA", at positions 10 to 518 of the family's 1533-position model. The record is from RNAcentral.